This is a long non-coding RNA of Pygocentrus nattereri (red-bellied piranha), 1709 nucleotides long. RefSeq lists it as uncharacterized. The transcript has 5 exons. The record is from RefSeq and is a predicted model, not a curated record. Lineage: Eukaryota; Metazoa; Chordata; Actinopteri; Characiformes; Serrasalmidae.
CGUAAUUUAACAGUAAUAAUUCCUGUGCUUUUUUACGGAAGAAUUCAAUUAUCUUAUAAUUACGGAGCUUUUUCAGUAAAUUCAAACUGUGCGCGUGCGUAGUGUGUGAAAGCGACCAACGGUCGCUCUCUCCUCAACACACAAUUUCAUCUUCUCACCCUCUUUAUUGCAGUGGCACCUCUGUGGUAAAUAUCAUCCAUUUUUGUUCGCGUAGGUAAACUUGUAACUAAAAGACUACCAGCUAGUAUCACAAAGAUAAAUAAUCCCAUUUAGCGAAUUUAAUAUAGACAACGAAUUAACGUUAACCUACGAUGGCUGUGGGUUAGCGUUAGCUGUAGUCUAAAGCUUGCCACAGAUUUUCUGGACAGGCUAACUUUAGUGUUAGCGUUAGUGCUACUGUCGCUUCUUUGGUAGCUAAAUAUCGACGUAGUUUUGACACCGAUAAUCUUUGCUGCAAUGAAAGACUGAAAACAUGUGCAUUUUUACAUUCGAGGAGAAAAAACGUUCCCCAGAAUGGGCAGACUAAAAGCUAACAAGCUAGCUAACCCUAGAUACAGCUCAUCCAGCAGUAUCAGCUAGCGUUAGCUAAGUUACCUCAGGUCAGAGAACACCAACGGGACAAAUAGGAACAAAGACUGGCAGUCUGAUGUUUUCAUUUGUCCUUAAAUAUUCAAAAAAGACCUGACAAGCAAAAUAAACUGUGGUGAACGGGGAGAGAACACUCUAGAAUCUUUAAACUACCAAGCAUGGACAUGGCACACAAGCUGAACGUUUGUGUUUGCUGGUGUUUGUCCUGUCUGUGUACUCUGCACUGUACUCAAAUGGCCUGCUUGUUGUGUUGCGUUAUAAUGUGGGAGAGUUAAGGUUAGGGCAUAUACUCUCCAUUGUCAUUACAGAGGACAAGACAAUGUUUUUUAUGCUGAGAGAAAAAGUAGCUGAACUUAUUCCUAGCCUUGGAAUCUAUGAAAUUAAGGACAGUAUGAAUAAUAUUACAGGUCCAAAGCUAGAUGGUCUUGCAGAGUAUGUCCCUCACAAAUGUUUCCAUAGAGGUGCCAAAAUCUUUUUUCCACUUAAGCAUCGUUAUGUCGCUAUGGAUGCCAUCCAAGGUUUAAUCAGUGGAGCUCUGCCAUUGCUUGUGGGGAACCUCCUUGAUAAAGUGAUUGAAAGACUACAAGAAAUUGGUGUUUCCCAAAUCGAUGACCUAAAUUUGGUACAAUCGAAGAUCUUGAAGGUGUCCUGAAGCCAAUACAGUGUCGCAGGCUGAUUAAAGCAUUCUCUGCCGUGCAGUUUUGAGAUUGUGAAACCAAGUAAACCUUGCAGAAGAGCGCUCUAAAAAGGCCAAGUGGUGAAAGACUUCAUUCGAACAAGAGAAGCAACUGCUGGUGAAAAGAUGAACCAAGGACCUUUGGAAAUGCUAAGAUGCCUCACAAGUUACUUCAAGGAAGCAACUGUCCUGUUGGUUGCAGACAAGGAUGGCCAGAAAGAACUACCCAGCACUCCUUGCAUCAUUGUCAUUGGGUCUCCUGGGGAUCAACACUGAACGUGGCUCAAAAGCUGAAUCGAAGUGCAAGAAGCACUUCAAAAUCAAUCCUAAGCUUCUGAAAUUCCUGAAGGACCUCAGUGACUUUCAGAAUCCAUUCAAAAUUUAAAUGGACAAGGCAUUUGGAGCCCUCAGAUGCUGCACAAUGGACUCAUUUAACAAUUUGAAA